This 245-nucleotide ribosomal RNA is filed under the name uncultured Acidithiobacillus sp. RNAcentral's name for it is "partial 16S ribosomal RNA". It matches the Rfam family "Bacterial small subunit ribosomal RNA", at positions 1137 to 1382 of the family's 1533-position model. Lineage: Bacteria; Pseudomonadati; Pseudomonadota; Acidithiobacillia; Acidithiobacillales; Acidithiobacillaceae. The record is from RNAcentral.
ACUCUUAGGAGACCGCCUCGUUAACGGGAGGAAGGUGGGGGAUGACGUCAAGUCCUCAUGGCCUUUAUGCCCAGGGCUACACACGUACUACAAUGGCCGGUACAGAGCGAAGCAAGACCGCAAGGUGGAGCAAAUCGCAGAAAGCCGGCCCCAGUUCAGAUUGAGGGCUGAAACUCGCCCUCAUGAAGUCGGAAUCGCUAGUAAUCGCGUAUCAGCAGGUCGCGGUGAAUACGUUCCCGGGUCUU